GUGAAGGUGUACUGUGAGGUAUGCUGGAGGUAUCAGAAGUGCGAAUGCUGACAUAAGUAACGAUAAAGCGGGUGAAAAGCCCGCUCGCCGGAAGACCAAGGGUUCCUGUCCAACGUUAAUCGGGGCAGGGUGAGUCGACCCCUAAGGCGAGGCCGAAAGGCGUAGUCGAUGGGAAACAGGUUAAUAUUCCUGUACUUGGUGUUACUGCGAAGGGGGGACGGAGAAGGCUAUGUUGGCCGGGCGACGGUUGUCCCGGUUUAAGCGUGUAGGCUGGUUUUCCAGGCAAAUCCGGAAAAUCAAGGCUGAGGCGUGAUGACGAGGCACUACGGUGCUGAAGCAACAAAUGCCCUGCUUCCAGGAAAAGCCUCUAAGCAUCAGGUAACAUCAAAUCGUACCCCAAACCGACACAGGUGGUCAGGUAGAGAAUACCAAGGCGCUUGAGAGAACUCGGGUGAAGGAACUAGGCAAAAUGGUGCCGUAACUUCGGGAGAA
Molecule: ribosomal RNA, 492 nt
Filed under: Escherichia coli
Lineage: Bacteria; Pseudomonadati; Pseudomonadota; Gammaproteobacteria; Enterobacterales; Enterobacteriaceae
Description: partial 23S ribosomal RNA
Rfam family: Bacterial large subunit ribosomal RNA
Source: RNAcentral